CGAGUGGCGAACGGGUGAGUAACACGUGGGUGAUCUGCCCUGCACUUCGGGAUAAGCCUGGGAAACUGGGUCUAAUACCGGAUAGGACGAUGGUUUGGAUGCCAUUGUGGAAAGUUUUUCGGUGUAGGAUGAGCUCGCGGCCUAUCAGUUUGUUGGUGAGGUAGUGGCUCACCAAGGCGAUGACGGGUAGCCGGCCUGAGAGGGCGACCGGCCACACUGGGACUGAGACACGGCCCAG
This 238-nucleotide ribosomal RNA is filed under the name uncultured Actinomycetales bacterium. Its description in RNAcentral is "partial 16S ribosomal RNA". It matches the Rfam family "Bacterial small subunit ribosomal RNA", at positions 92 to 334 of the family's 1533-position model. The record is from RNAcentral. Lineage: Bacteria; Bacillati; Actinomycetota; Actinomycetes; Actinomycetales.